CCAACAAAGCUCUUACGGCCAGUGAGACGAUGGGGAUAAGCUUCAUCGUUGAGAGGGAAACAGUCCAGAUCACCAGUUAAGGCCCUUAAAUGAUCGUUCAGUGAUAAAGGAGGUAGGGGUGCAGGGAUAAUCAGGAGAUUUGCCUAGAAGCAGCCACCUUUGAAAGAGUGCGUAAUAGCUCACUGAUCGAGCGCUCUUGCGUCGAAGAUGAAUGGGGCUAAGCGAUCUGCCAAAGCUGUGGGAUGUCAAAAUGAAUCAGUAGG
Molecule: non-coding RNA, 263 nt
Filed under: Vigna radiata var. radiata (mung bean)
Lineage: Eukaryota; Viridiplantae; Streptophyta; Magnoliopsida; Fabales; Fabaceae
Description: Bacterial large subunit ribosomal RNA
Rfam family: Bacterial large subunit ribosomal RNA
Source: Rfam by way of RNAcentral